GAUGAACGCUGGCGGCGUGCCUAAUACAUGCAAGUCGAGCGAACAGACGAGGAGCUUGCUCCUCUGACGUUAGCGGCGGACGGGUGAGUAACACGUGGAUAACCUACCUAUAAGACUGGGAUAACUUCAGGAAACCGGAGCUAAUACCGGAUAAUAUAUUGAACCGCAUGGUUCAAUAGUGAAAGACGGUUUUGCUGUCACUUAUAGAUGGAUCCGCGCCGCAUUAGCUAGUUGGUAAGGUAACGGCUUACCAAGGCAACGAUGCGUAGCCGACCUGAGAGGGUGAUCGGCCACACUGGAACUGAGACACGGUCCAGACUCCUACGGGAGGCAGCAGUAGGGAAUCUUCCGCAAUGGGCGAAAGCCUGACGGAGCAACGCCGCGUGAGUGAUGAAGGUCUUCGGAUCAUAAAACUCUGUUAUUAGGGAAGAACAAAUGUGUAAGUAACUAUGCACGUCUUGACGGUACCUAAUCAGAAAGCCACGGCUAACUACGUG
RNAcentral lists this ribosomal RNA (497 nucleotides) under uncultured bacterium. Its description in RNAcentral is "partial 16S ribosomal RNA". It matches the Rfam family "Bacterial small subunit ribosomal RNA", at positions 28 to 507 of the family's 1533-position model. The record is from RNAcentral.